RNAcentral lists this ribosomal RNA (498 nucleotides) under uncultured bacterium. Its description in RNAcentral is "bacterial SSU rRNA". It matches the Rfam family "Bacterial small subunit ribosomal RNA", at positions 15 to 509 of the family's 1533-position model. The record is from RNAcentral.
GAUCCUGGCUCAGGAUGAACGCUAGCGGCAGGCUUAACACAUGCAAGUCGAGGGGCAGCGCGGGUAGCAAUACCUGGCGGCGACCGGCGCACGGGUGCGUAACGCGUAUGCAACCUGCCCGCAACAGGGGUAUAACGGAGGAAACCUCCACUAAUCCCCCAUAUGGUCUGUUUCUCGCAUGGGAGGCAGACGAAAGCUUUUAGUGGUUGCGGAUGGGCAUGCGUGACAUUAGCUAGUUGUAAGGCAACGGCUUACCAAGGCGACGAUGUCUAGGGGGCUGAGAGGCUUGACCCCCACACUGGUACUGAGACACGGACCAGACUCCUACGGGAGGCAGCAGUGAGGAAUAUUGGUCAAUGGGCGGAAGCCUGAACCAGCCAUGCCGCGUGGGGGAUGGAGGCCCUAUGGGUUGUAAACCCCUUUUAACCGGGGAGUAAUAAGGUCCUUGCGAGGGCCGAUGAGAGUACCGGUGGAAUAAGCAUCGGCUAACUCCGUGCC